This 207-nucleotide ribosomal RNA is filed under the name uncultured bacterium. RNAcentral describes it as "partial 16S ribosomal RNA". It matches the Rfam family "Bacterial small subunit ribosomal RNA", at positions 568 to 774 of the family's 1533-position model. The record is from RNAcentral.
CGCGUAGGUGGUUAGGUAAGCAAGAUGUGAAAGCCCCGGGCUUAACCUGGGAACGGCAUUUCGAACUGUCUGACUAGAGUAUGGUAGAGGGUAGUGGAAUUUCCUGUGUAGCGGUGAAAUGCGUAGAUAUAGGAAGGAACACCAGUGGCGAAGGCGGCUACCUGGACCAAUACUGACACCGAGGUGCGAAAGCGUGGGGAGCAAACA